RNAcentral lists this transfer RNA (71 nucleotides) under Allobates masniger. Its description in RNAcentral is "tRNA-Ser". It matches the Rfam family "tRNA". From Rfam's summary of the family: Transfer RNA (tRNA) molecules are approximately 80 nucleotides in length. Their secondary structure includes four short double-helical elements and three loops (D, anti-codon, and T loops). The record is from RNAcentral. Lineage: Eukaryota; Metazoa; Chordata; Amphibia; Anura; Aromobatidae.
AAGAAAGUAGCAGAGUGGUAAUGCAUUUGGCUUGAAACCAGAUGGUGGAGGUUCGAUUCCUUCUUUUCUUG